Lotus japonicus is the source of this 331-nucleotide long non-coding RNA. RefSeq lists it as uncharacterized. The record is from RefSeq and is a predicted model, not a curated record. The transcript has 2 exons. NCBI's taxonomy places the organism in Eukaryota, Viridiplantae, Streptophyta, Magnoliopsida, Fabales, Fabaceae.
UUGUAGCCAAAUUGCCAAACAGCCAAUGAAUCAUUAUUCAUGACCAUGAAAAAUAUCAAUUGAUAAUAGCAUCCGUUAUGAAUUGCUGGGAAAAGCUACUGAUUUUCAUUCUUUCGCUCUUUCUUUCAUCGCUCUGCAACCUCCAUUCAUUGCUCUUCCAAUUUCUUACUCUCACUUCAUCGCUCUCUCUCAGGUUCUUUCAAUCUCCACUGUAUUUUCAGAGCGCGUAAAUGGUUUUGGCAGCUGUGUGAGUGAGAAAGUAGCCACAAUGGGCAUAUGGUGAAGCAAAGAAGCAGCUAUGCAAUGAUGUUACUGCUUUACAUUGUAUUGG